UUAAAGAGUUCUAUAACUCCCAAACCCAUGUGAACAUACCUAACGUUGCCUCGGCAGGUCGCACCUACCUUGUAGCACCCUACCCUGUAGGGCCUACCCGGGAGGUGCGGGUAAGCCUGCCGGCGGCCCACCAAACUCUGUUUGAUAUUGAAUUCUGAACCUAUAACUAAAUAAGUUAAAACUUUCAACAACGGAUCUCUUGGUUCUGGCAUCGAUGAAGAACGCAGCGAAAUGCGAUAAGUAAUGUGAAUUGCAGAAUUCAGUGAAUCAUCGAAUCUUUGAACGCAUAUUGCGCCCAUUAGUAUUCUAGUGGGCAGGACCGUUCGAGCGUCAUUUCAACCCUUAAGCCUUCGUUGCUUAGUGUUGGGAGCCUACGGCAACGUAGCUCCUCAAAGUUAGUGGCGGAGUUGGUUCACACUCUAGACGUAGUAAUUUUUUAUCUCGCCUAUUAGUUGGACUAAUCCCCUGCCGUAAAACCCCCAAUUUAUCAAGGUUGACCUCGAAUCGGUUCAGACAAACUCGCUAAAUUGAAGCAUCUUAGUCAGCGAAGGAAAA
This 555-nucleotide ribosomal RNA is filed under the name fungal endophyte. RNAcentral's name for it is "eukaryotic LSU rRNA". The stretch from base 180 to 333 matches the Rfam family "5.8S ribosomal RNA". The record is from RNAcentral. Lineage: Eukaryota; Fungi.